This 253-nucleotide ribosomal RNA is filed under the name uncultured bacterium. Its description in RNAcentral is "partial 16S ribosomal RNA". It matches the Rfam family "Bacterial small subunit ribosomal RNA", at positions 524 to 776 of the family's 1533-position model. The record is from RNAcentral.
UACGUAGGCAGCAAGCGUUGUUCGGAGUACUGGGCGUAAAGGGUGUGUAGGCGGUUUUUAAGUUUGGUGUGAAAUCUCCCGGCUCAACUGGGAGGGUGCGCCGAAUACUGGAAAGACUAGAGUGCAGGAGAGGAAAGGUGGAAUUCCUGGUGUAGCGGUGAAAUGCGUAGAUAUCAGGAGGAACACCGGUGGUGUAGACGGCUUCUGGACCGUAACUGACGCUGGAGACACGAAAGCGUGGGUAGCAAACAGG